GGGCAGAUAGCUCAAUUGGUAGAGCACGGCACUGAAAAUGCCGGGGUUGCCAGUUCAAGUCUGGCUCUGCCCA
Molecule: transfer RNA, 73 nt
Filed under: Phycisphaeraceae bacterium
Lineage: Bacteria; Pseudomonadati; Planctomycetota; Phycisphaerae; Phycisphaerales; Phycisphaeraceae
Description: tRNA-Phe
Rfam family: tRNA
About the family: Transfer RNA (tRNA) molecules are approximately 80 nucleotides in length.
Source: RNAcentral